GUAAGUUAUGCAAUAAAUUAAAGUUAGAUAAUUCUGACAGGUAACGUUACGUAUCGGCCCUGUAGUUGGCGUUAGCAUGGAUCGAUACAACGAGGUGAAACUGCAGCUGAAGAGCUGGGAGCAGGGGUUCGUCAAAGACCACCAGAGGAAACCAAACAAGGAGGACAUUGAUCAAGCUCCAGAGGAGACCAGGAAGCUGUAUAAAGAGUACCGCAGUUUGAAACAAGCCAAAGAAAACAGCAGCAGUGAUGCAGCCAGCGGACAUGCUGAACAGCCCAGAUCUACAGCUGAGGUCAUAACAGUCCAGAAGGACGGGGACUGUUGGGGGUGCCCAUCUAAACCGCAGUUCACAGCCGGCAUCUUCUCCCAGACUGACAUCAGAGGAAAAAGACAGUCUUAAGGCCUCUGCCCAAUACUAUGGACUAAAGCUUAAAAACAACCUGGUGACACUCAGUAAGGAAAGACCUGUCUCACUGAGGAAAUCAGUCCUUCCCGGUCGAUUGCCUCUAAACUCCUUGAAAGAUCGACAAACUGGACAGACAAACAGCCCUGUUGCUGCCACUGUCAAAACCACUUUCACUGACCCUGAAUCCAGCCCUUUUACACCAAGAAAAUUUAAGACUUGCCUGGGAUCCCUGGCUUCAAAGACACCUCAGAAAGUGGAGCCUGAAGAGCCGUUUGAACCAUUUGAACCUGUCAGAGAGUCUUGUGAAGAGCCUGCAAGUGCUGCCAGUAGUUGUAGUAGUACUAGUAAAGUUAUUAGUUCAGAAAAUCAAAAUGUCUCAAGUGUAGCUCCCUCUCCAGCCAGAUCUUCUGCAUCAUUAUCUUCUCCAUGUAGUGUAGUAGGAACUUCAAGAGGAGGUGUAGGAGCCACAGGAAAGUUAAAUGAAAGUAUAGGAGCUUCAGGAGACAGAAAACAACAUGUUGAAAUUUUAGUAACUCCACAUAAGGGUAUUAGUGAUGCAGAUGUUGGAACUUUGAUUAGCUUGAGAGGAAGCCCUCGGGUUC
Molecule: long non-coding RNA, 1008 nt
Filed under: Sander lucioperca (pikeperch)
Lineage: Eukaryota; Metazoa; Chordata; Actinopteri; Perciformes; Percidae
Description: lncRNA (ENSSLUG00000000614.1)
Source: RNAcentral